AUGGAAUUUCAGCAAGUGGCAACCACGCUCAGCCUGAGUGCCUCAGAUCAGCCCAAAACAAGCCUCAGGUCUCUUGCAAUAGCAAGCCCUGGCACAGACUGGGAAGGAAGAUGCUCAGACUCCAAACUGGUCUCCAAGCCCUCAUCAGCAUCCCUUGUUUCUCUGAAUGCUCAACAAGGCCUCCACAAACCCCAGCAGCCAGAGCUACACAGGCACCAGAUGAAGAGCAAGCGUGCUGGCUGCAGAAUCUCUAUUGGCAUCACUGAACCAGAGCCCAUGGCAGUAAAGCCCCUGUGCAGCCCAGUAGCCAGGUCAGUUACCUCUCUUCCCACUUCACAUUUCAAGUCAAGCAGGACAGAGAAAAAGAAAAAAAAAAUUAGAAGGGUGGAAAAAAAAGAAAAAAAAAAAAAGAAGAAGAAAUUCCUACCCUCUGUCCUACCAGAUUUCACCUCCAUCCACAGUGGAAUACCACCCGGGGCUUUUGCAAACACAUGA
RNAcentral lists this long non-coding RNA (495 nucleotides) under Zonotrichia albicollis (white-throated sparrow). RNAcentral's name for it is "lncRNA (ENSZALG00000001001.1)". Lineage: Eukaryota; Metazoa; Chordata; Aves; Passeriformes; Passerellidae. The record is from RNAcentral.